RNAcentral lists this non-coding RNA (102 nucleotides) under Paenibacillus sp. RNAcentral describes it as "Guanine sequence". It matches the Rfam family "Purine riboswitch aptamer". Rfam says of the family: Riboswitches are metabolite binding domains within certain messenger RNAs that serve as precision sensors for their corresponding targets. Allosteric rearrangement of mRNA structure is mediated by ligand binding, and this results in modulation of gene expression. Lineage: Bacteria; Bacillati; Bacillota; Bacilli; Caryophanales; Paenibacillaceae. The record is from RNAcentral.
GUGUUCAAAAUCAAAUCUUGAUGUAUAUGCCGGGGAAUAGGGCCCAGGCGUUUCUACCAGGUUACCGUAAAUGACUUGACUACAUGAAGGUUGAGAAUCCGC